AGAGUUUGAUCCUGGCUCAGGAUGAACGCUGGCGGCGUGCUUAACACAUGCAAGUCGAACGAUUAACCCAAACUUCGGUUUGGUUAUAAAGUGGCGAACGGGUGAGUAACACGUGACCAACCUGCCUUCUAGAUCGGGAUAACUCAAGGAAACUUGUGCUAAUACCGGAUACUCCGGAGCAAUCGCAUGGUAGCUCCGGGAAAGCUUUUGCGCUAGAAGAUGGGGUCGCGGCCUAUUAGGUAGUUGGUGGGGUAGAGGCCUACCAAGCCUGCGAUAGGUAGCCGGGUUGAGAGACUGAUCGGCCACAUUGGGACUGAGAUACGGCCCAGACUCCUACGGGAGGCAGCAGUGGGGAAUUUUGCGCAAUGGGGGCAACCCUGACGCAGCAACGCCGCGUGCGGGAUGAAGGUCUUCGGAUUGUAAACCGCUUUCAGUAGGGAAUAAGUAUGAAGGUACCUACAGAAGAAGCACCGGCUAAAUACGUGCCAGCAGCCGCGGUAAUACGUAUGGUGCAAGCGUUAUCCGGAAUCAUUGGGCGUAAAGCGCGCGUAGGCGGCUUGUUAAGCAGGAAUUUAAAUCUUAGGGCUCAACCUUAAGUCGGUUCCUGAACUGGCAGGCUCGAGUGCGGUAGAGGAAGGUGGAAUUCCCAGUGUAGCGGUGAAAUGCGCAGAUAUUGGGAAGAACACCGAUGGCGAAGGCAGCCUUCUGGGCCGCCACUGACGCUGAGGCGCGAAAGCUAGGGGAGCGAACAGGAUUAGAUACCCUGGUAGUCCUAGCCGUAAACGAUGGGCACUAGGUGUGGGGAGGAAUUCUCUCCGUGCCGCAGCUAACGCAUUAAGUGCCCCGCCUGGGGAGUACGGCCGCAAGGCUAAAACUCAAAG
RNAcentral lists this ribosomal RNA (881 nucleotides) under human gut metagenome. RNAcentral's name for it is "bacterial SSU rRNA". It matches the Rfam family "Bacterial small subunit ribosomal RNA", at positions 8 to 906 of the family's 1533-position model. The record is from RNAcentral.